This 445-nucleotide ribosomal RNA is filed under the name uncultured bacterium. RNAcentral describes it as "partial 16S ribosomal RNA". It matches the Rfam family "Bacterial small subunit ribosomal RNA", at positions 354 to 796 of the family's 1533-position model. The record is from RNAcentral.
GUGAGGAAUAUUGGUCAAUGGCCGAGAGGCUGAACCAGCCAAGUCGCGUGAGGGAUGAAGGUUCUAUGGAUCGUAAACCUCUUUUAUAAGGGAAUAAAGUGCGGGACGUGUCCCGUUUUGUAUGUACCUUAUGAAUAAGGAUCGGCUAACUCCGUGCCAGCAGCCGCGGUAAUACGGAGGAUCCGAGCGUUAUCCGGAUUUAUUGGGUUUAAAGGGUGCGUAGGCGGCCUUUUAAGUCAGCGGUGAAAGUCUGUGGCUCAACCAUAGAAUUGCCGUUGAAACUGGGGGGCUUGAGUAUGUUUGAGGCAGGCGGAAUGCGUGGUGUAGCGGUGAAAUGCAUAGAUAUCACGCAGAACCCCGAUUGCGAAGGCAGCCUGCCAAGCCAUUACUGACGCUGAUGCACGAAAGCGUGGGGAUCAAACAGGAUUAGAAACCCUUGUAGUCC